GAGCCUUGAUGUGUAGGAUAGGUGGGAGGCUUUGAAGUGUGGACGCCAGUCUGCAUGGAGCCGACCUUGAAAUACCACCCUUUAAUGUUUGAUGUUCUAACGUUGACCCGUGAUCCGGGUUGCGGACAGUGUCUGGUGGGUAGUUUGACUGGGGCGGUCUCCUCCUAAAGAGUAACGGAGGAGCACGAAGGUUGGCUAAUCCUGGUCGGACAUCAGGAGGUUA
This 223-nucleotide ribosomal RNA is filed under the name Escherichia coli. Its description in RNAcentral is "partial 23S ribosomal RNA". It matches the Rfam family "Bacterial large subunit ribosomal RNA", at positions 2126 to 2348 of the family's 2925-position model. The record is from RNAcentral. Lineage: Bacteria; Pseudomonadati; Pseudomonadota; Gammaproteobacteria; Enterobacterales; Enterobacteriaceae.